Molecule: ribosomal RNA, 433 nt
Filed under: uncultured bacterium
Lineage: Bacteria
Description: partial 16S ribosomal RNA
Rfam family: Bacterial small subunit ribosomal RNA
Source: RNAcentral
AACGAACGCUGGCGGCAUGCCUAACACAUGCAAGUCGAACGAGACCUUCGGGUCUAGUGGCGCACGGGUUCGUAACGCGUGGGAAUCUGCCCUUGGGUUUGGAAUAAAAGUUGGGAACGACUGGUAAUACCGGGUGAUGACGUAAAUCCAAAGAUUUAUCGCCCAAGGAUGAGCCCGCGUAGGAUUAGCUAGUUGGUGAGGUAAAGGCUCACCAAGGCGACGAUCCUUAGCUGGUCUGAGAGGAUGAUCAGCCACACUGGGACUGAGACACGGCCCAGACUCCUACGGGAGGCAGCAGUGGGGAAUAUUGGACAAUGGGCGAAAGCCUGAUCCAGCAAUGCCGCGUGAGUGAUGAAGGCCUUAGGGUUGUAAAGCUCUUUUACCCGGGAUGAUAAUGACAGUACCGGGAGAAUAAGCUCCGGCUAACUCCGUG